UACAGAGGGUGCAAGCGUUAAUCGGAAUUACUGGGCGUAAAGCGCGCGUAGGUGGUUUGUUAAGUUGGAUGUGAAAGCCCCGGGCUCAACCUGGGAACUGCUUUCAAAACUGCUGAGCUAGAGUACGGUAGAGGGUGGUGGAAUUUCCUGUGUAGCGGUGAAAUGCGUAGAUAUAGGAAGGAACACCAGUGGCGAAGGCGACCACCUGGACUGAUACUGACACUGAGGUGCGAAAGCGUGGGGAGCAAACAGG
Molecule: ribosomal RNA, 253 nt
Filed under: uncultured bacterium
Lineage: Bacteria
Description: partial 16S ribosomal RNA
Rfam family: Bacterial small subunit ribosomal RNA
Source: RNAcentral